CAGUAGCCGCGGUAAUACGAAGGGUGCAAGCGUUAAUCGGAAUUACUGGGCGUAAAGCGUGCGUAGGCGGUGAGCUAAGUCUGCUGUGAAAUCCCCGGGCUCAACCCGGGAAUGGCAGUGGAUACUGGCUCGCUAGAGUGUGUCAGAGGAUGGUGGAAUUCCCGGUGUAGCGGUGAAAUGCGCGGAGAUCGGGAGGAACAUCAGUGGCGAAGGCGGCCAUCUGGGACAACACUGACGCUGAGGCACGAAAGCGUGGGGAGCAAACAGGAUUAGAUACCCGUGUAGUCCCUGUCUCUUAUAC
This 301-nucleotide ribosomal RNA is filed under the name uncultured bacterium. Its description in RNAcentral is "partial 16S ribosomal RNA". It matches the Rfam family "Bacterial small subunit ribosomal RNA", at positions 509 to 807 of the family's 1533-position model. The record is from RNAcentral.